UUGAAGGGUAAAUCAUGUUUUAUUAACAAUUCUCAAAUUAUUUCCCCAAUUUUUCCGGGUACCUGCUCUUUUUGUUUGAUGAGAAGUAAACACACCUGUAAAUAACGCCAUGAAGGGUUUAUUGUUUUGAGUUGUUUGACUAUUUAGCAUUUUCCUUAUUGAUUUUGAUGUAUGUAUGACUUUUAUAUUGUAUUGUUUGAAUAAAUAUAGACGUUUUAUACUACUUCCGCUUAACAGAUAAAUCGGACUUUUAUUUUGAAAGGUUAAAAGGAAGCGCACUUUUUUUUAGGUUAAAAUGCGAACUUUAUGGUAUAGAUUACGGACAGAUGCGCAUUUUAUAACAAGUUUAAUAGUUGAUUUGACCCGUAUGGGACUAACUCUGUUAAGGUGGUGAUAGUGUACGAGUUUUAAUUAAUGUAUUGUCACCUAAAGAAAGAAAAUAAAGGAGAGUCACCAGCAGUAAGUCUUCACGCCAAUUCAUAUGGUCGUUACAACGCUUAUUGCUGUCAGAAUACGCAGGCGAAACAACAUAAAACAUAAUAAUAAAUAAGACUAGAGGACGCUUUUUACAAUUCAUAACAGCAUUGUAGAAAAGAGAGAUAACAAACGGCAAAGAUACGUUGAUCAGAGACGUAUUUGUAAUUAUAAUACGUCAAAUACAAACGUAAUCUGGAGAGAAAUACGUUUCAGUCAAACGUAAUUUGGAGAGAAAUACGUUUCAGUCAAACGUCACUGCAAAUUGCAUUUUAGGUCUGGGGGAACGUAAUUUUUGUGAUACAGGGUUGUCAAAUACACCCCACGUUUGCCAAGCAGUCUUCUUCCCUUUGCCACGGAAGGCUGAAACAACAUCACAGCCUGUAAAGGCAUGGAAGAAAAGGAUUCCUCUUCUCCUCUCUCUUCAGGGUUCCGUGUACAGGGGUCCGUGUACCGGGGUCUGUGUACAGGGUUCCGUGCACCGGGGUCUGUGUACCGGGUCCGUGUACAGGGUCCGUGUACAGGGUUCCGUGUAGAGGGGUCCGUGCUCCGGGGUCUGUGUACCGGGGUCCGUGUACCGGGGUUUCACUGCUUCAGCGCUCGCAACGGUGAAAAAAAAAUAACGGCACUUUUUAAUGUUCUUUCUUAAACUGGUCAAAGUAAAGUGGGUAUUAACACACAGAAGACGUUGUAAUUAAAAUAGAAACUGACAAGAUUAAUAGAGGAAUUGCAAAAACUCUCUGGCUACUCAUUUAUGAGAACUUCCAAAUUAUUAAAUGUUACUUUUCCCAAGAUUCUCAGCGGUACGCAGUAAAUUACUGUGAAAAGAAACACUUGACCGUUAGGAUCAUGGAAGCAAGCAUUAAAACUCCCAGAAUGCAUUGCUUUUACAGCAUUAUACAGCCCCCUGAUCGCAAGUUCCCCAAUCUGCCACUGUACAUACGGCUAAAUGUAUUGCAUUGUCGUUGUUACAUCCUGUUGCAUGACAUCAGAGUUUGAUAUUGUAUGUAUAUUCGACGAUAGAUGAAGCAUGGUUAUGAGCAGAUGUUUGAUCAUCUCACAGGCUUAUGAAAGGGUGAUCAGGCUGCCAGUGACUGUUAUUUAAACAACAACAAUUAUAUAGAACAAUACUAUUAUAUAUCUACUAUAUAUAUAAUACUUUAUACCAGUGGUUCUCAAAUGGGGUUAAAGAAAGGCACUCCACGGGGUAUGUGAGAUUUGUAAAAAAUAUUAAUUAAAAUUAUCAGCAAUAAAAAAAAUCCUUUCAAAAUGGUUAUUUCAUGAAUAUUUAAUAAAAUGUAAGUUUAAGAUCAUAAACUAAAUUUUAUAUUUUCUAUAUUAAAUCAGACACUCACGGCCCGGCGCUGUGUAUCCAUCACAGUCAACGAAAAAAGUACGAGAACCACUGCUGCAUACAAUAGGCCAGUAAAGACAUUACAAUUUUUUUUUUUUAAUACAAAAUUUGAAAAAUUUCUAAUGCAGAGUUGACUGAUCACAUGAUGAGGUCACAUGAUCAUGUGCUGAUGUUCCAGACCGAACAUUCUGAACCGAUGUAGGAGACAGAAUUGUGUGCUUGUCUCUUUAAAUUAUUUGAUGGCUUUGUGCCUAUGAUGUGAGGACACUUCGAUGACAUCAUCAGAUCAAAGCCACUAAAGCUUGUACAUAGCCCCAAUGAAACUGGACUGCCUCUGUUCCACUCUACUCAUCUUGAUUCAUUUAUGAAACAUUUGAUAGACACGAUGACGUCCCAAUCAUCAGCGAUCGUCCCUUUUACAGUCAAGAAGCAAGAAAUCAUCACCAACAAGUCCACACAAUAUCUCGUGCAGGACUUCAUCGGAGAAGGAUGUUUUGGAAAAGUUGCCAGGUGCAUGGUGGGGUCCAGGUUAUGCGAGUUAGUGUGGGAAAGAGUAGUAGAUUAACUUUUUCCUGACUAAUUUACAUAACCUGGUGGUGGUGGGGUCCAGGUUAUGCGAGUUAGUGUGGGAAAGAGUAGUAGAUUAACUUUUUCCUGACCAAUUUACAUAACCUGGUGGUGGUGGGGUCCAGGUUAUGCGAGUUAGUGUGGGAAAGAGUAGUAGAUUAACUUUUUCCUGACUAAUUUACAUAACCUGGUGGUGGUGGGGUCCAGGUUAUGCGAGUUAGUGUGGGAAAGAGUAGUAGAUUA
This is a long non-coding RNA of Pseudoliparis swirei, 2638 nucleotides long. RefSeq lists it as uncharacterized. NCBI's taxonomy places the organism in Eukaryota, Metazoa, Chordata, Actinopteri, Perciformes, Liparidae. The record is from RefSeq and is a predicted model, not a curated record. The transcript is spliced from 3 exons.